AGCGUAGGCGGACAUUUAAGUCAGGGGUGAAAUCCCGGGGCUCAACCUCGGAAUUGCCUUUGAUACUGGGUGUCUUGAGUAUGAGAGAGGUGUGUGGAACUCCGAGUGUAGAGGUGAAAUUCGUAGAUAUUCGGAAGAACACCAGUGGCGAAGGCGACACACUGGCUCAUUACUGACGCUGAGGCUCGAAAGCGUGGGGAGCAAACAGGAUUAGAUACCCCCGUA
This 225-nucleotide ribosomal RNA is filed under the name uncultured Brevundimonas sp. RNAcentral describes it as "partial 16S ribosomal RNA". It matches the Rfam family "Bacterial small subunit ribosomal RNA", at positions 568 to 792 of the family's 1533-position model. The record is from RNAcentral. Lineage: Bacteria; Pseudomonadati; Pseudomonadota; Alphaproteobacteria; Caulobacterales; Caulobacteraceae.